Molecule: ribosomal RNA, 568 nt
Filed under: Clenchiella iriomotensis
Lineage: Eukaryota; Metazoa; Mollusca; Gastropoda; Littorinimorpha; Clenchiellidae
Description: partial 12S rRNA
Source: RNAcentral
GUGCCAGCCAUCGCGGUUAUACCCUCAGCCUUAGAUUGAUUAUGGGCUAAUUUUAAUAUUUAGUUUCUAGAGAGCAUUAGGUGCAAUUUUUCUCUACAUAGGACUCAGAACUAAAUUGUUAAACAUAGUAUAUUAUAGAUCGAAACCUGGAUUAGAGACCCAGUUAUUCUAUUAAAAAAAUAAAAUUAGCCGGGGUAGUACAAAUGGAAAUCCAAAAAGUUUGGCGGUGUAACGAACAGAAUAGGGGAACUUGUCUUUUAAUAGAUAUUACACUAAAUACCUCACCUUAAAUGUUGAUUUGUAUAUCGCUGUGGUAACUUGACCUUUGUGGGCAUAAAUUCAAGAAUCCAAAUAAUGGAAAAACUCAAGUCAAGAUACAGUCUUUUUAAGGGUAGGAUGAGUUACUAUUGUAAAAUUUCAAAGGACUAAAAGAUAAAACCUUUUAAGAAAAAGGACUUAUAAGUAAAAUCUUUAAUAUAGAAGACUUGAAAAUGAUAAGUUAUGUGCACAUAUCGCCCGUCACUCUUGGCGAAAGCUAAGAUAAGUCGUAACAUAGUAGGGGUAACAA